This 497-nucleotide ribosomal RNA is filed under the name uncultured bacterium. Its description in RNAcentral is "partial 16S ribosomal RNA". It matches the Rfam family "Bacterial small subunit ribosomal RNA", at positions 28 to 507 of the family's 1533-position model. The record is from RNAcentral.
GAUGAACGCUGGCGGCGUGCCUAAUACAUGCAAGUCGAGCGAACAGACGAGGAGCUUGCUCCUCUGACGUUAGCGGCGGACGGGUGAGUAACACGUGGAUAACCUACCUAUAAGACUGGGAUAACUUCGGGAAACCGGAGCUACUACCGGAUAAUAUAUUGAACCGCAUUGUUCAAUAGUGAAAGACGGUUUUGCUGUCACUUAUAGAUGGAUCCGCGCCGCAUUAGCUAGUUGGUAAGGUAACGGCUUACCAAGGCAACGAUGCGUAGCCGACCUGAGAGGGUGAUCGGCCACACUGGAACUGAGACACGGUCCAGACUCCUACGGGAGGCAGCAGUAGGGAAUCUUCCGCAAUGGGCGAAAGCCUGACGGAGCAACGCCGCGUGAGUGAUGAAGGUCUUCGGAUCGUAAAACUCUGUUAUUAGGGAAGAACAAAUGUGUAAGUAACUAUGCACGUCUUGACGGUACCUAAUCAGAAAGCCACGGCUAACUACGUG